Molecule: ribosomal RNA, 318 nt
Filed under: uncultured Bolbitiaceae
Lineage: Eukaryota; Fungi; Basidiomycota; Agaricomycetes; Agaricales; Bolbitiaceae
Description: partial large subunit ribosomal RNA
Rfam family: Eukaryotic large subunit ribosomal RNA
Source: RNAcentral
AUAUCAAUAAGCGGAGGAAAAGAAACUAACAAGGAUUCCCCUAGUAACUGCGAGUGCAGCGGGAAAAGCUCAAAUUUAAAAUCUGGUAGUCUUUGAUUGCCCGAGUUGUAAUCUAGAGAAGCGUUAUCCGCGCUGGACCGUGUACAAGUCUCCUGGAAUGGAGCGUCAUAGAGGGUGAGAAUCCCGUCUUUGGCACGGAUGCACCAGGGCCUUUGUGAUGCGCUCUCGAAGAGUCGAGUUGUUUGGGAAUGCAGCUCAAAAUGGGCGGUGAACUCCAUCUAAAGCUAAAUAUUGACGAGAGACCGAUAGCGACAAGUA